CUAGGAUGAAAAUUUUUGUCCUGCAUUUUUUUUAGCUGUAAUCUCUGUCCUGCAUUUUUAUUUUCCACUCUGUUCGGUCCUGCAUUUUUUUUUUUUAGUUUAUCCUGACUUUUUUUACCUAAAUUGUCGUCCUGAUUUUUUUUUUUGCAAGUGUCUCAUCCUGCCUUUUUUUUUUACUCAAAACUCCUGUCCUGCCUAUUUUUUUCAAAUUUCAUCCUAGCCCCCCCCCCCCCCCCAUAAAAAUCAAAUGGUAGCUCCCUUAA
Molecule: long non-coding RNA, 263 nt
Filed under: Mytilus galloprovincialis (Mediterranean mussel)
Lineage: Eukaryota; Metazoa; Mollusca; Bivalvia; Mytilida; Mytilidae
Source: RNAcentral